UACGAAGGGUGCAAACGUUGCUCGGAAUUAUUGGGCGUAAAGCGCACGUAGGCGGCCUUGUAAGUCCCAUGUGAAAUCCCACGGCUUAACCGUGGAAGUGCAUGGGAAACUACAGGGCUUGAGUACUUAAGAGGAUCGCGGAAUUCCCGGUGUAGAGGUGAAAUGCGUAGAUAUCUGGAGGAACACCGGUGGCGAAGGCGGCAUCCUGGACCAAUAUUGACGCUGAGGAGCGAAAGCUAGGGGAGCAAACGGGG
This 254-nucleotide ribosomal RNA is filed under the name uncultured bacterium. Its description in RNAcentral is "partial 16S ribosomal RNA". It matches the Rfam family "Bacterial small subunit ribosomal RNA", at positions 524 to 777 of the family's 1533-position model. The record is from RNAcentral.